GAUUAAGUUAUUAAGGGCGCACGGUGGAUGCCUUGGCACUAGAAGCCGAUGAAGGACGUUACUAACGACGAUAUGCUUUGGGGAGCUGUAAGUAAGCUUUGAUCCAGAGAUUUCCGAAUGGGGAAACCCAGCAUGAGUUAUGUCAUGUUAUCGAUAUGUGAAUACAUAGCAUAUCAGAAGGCACACCCGGAGAACUGAAACAUCUUAGUACCCGGAGGAAGAGAAAGAAAAUUCGAUUCCCUUAGUAGCGGCGAGCGAAACGGGAAGAGCCCAAACCAACAAGCUUGCUUGUUGGGGUUGUAGGACACUCUAUACGGAGUUACAAAGGACGACAUUAGACGAAUCAUCUGGAAAGAUGAAUCAAAGAAGGUAAUAAUCCUGUAGUCGAAAAUGUUGUCUCUCUUGAGUGGAUCCUGAGUACGACGGAGCACGUGAAAUUCCGUCGGAAUCUGGGAGGACCAUCUCCUAAGGCUAAAUACUCUCUAGUGACCGAUAGUGAACCAGUACCGUGAGGGAAAGGUGAAAAGCACCCCGGAAGGGGAGUGAAAUAGAACCUGAAACCGUGUGCUUACAAGUAGUCAGAGCCCGUUAAUGGGUGAUGGCGUGCCUUUUGUAGAAUGAACCGGCGAGUUACGAUUUGAUGCAAGGUUAAGCAGUAAAUGUGGAGCCGUAGCGAAAGCGAGUCUGAAUAGGGCGUUUAGUAUUUGGUCGUAGACCCGAAACCAGGUGAUCUACCCUUGGUCAGGUUGAAGUUCAGGUAACACUGAAUGGAGGACCGAACCGACUUACGUUGAAAAGUGAGCGGAUGAACUGAGGGUAGCGGAGAAAUUCCAAUCGAACCUGGAGAUAGCUGGUUCUCUCCGAAAUAGCUUUAGGGCUAGCCUCAAGUGAUGAUUAUUGGAGGUAGAGCACUGUUUGGACGAGGGGCCCCUCUCGGGUUACC
RNAcentral lists this ribosomal RNA (943 nucleotides) under Staphylococcus aureus. RNAcentral describes it as "partial 23S ribosomal RNA". It matches the Rfam family "Bacterial large subunit ribosomal RNA", at positions 1 to 940 of the family's 2925-position model. The record is from RNAcentral. Lineage: Bacteria; Bacillati; Bacillota; Bacilli; Caryophanales; Staphylococcaceae.